UACGAAGGGGGCUAGCGUUGCUCGGAAUUACUGGGCGUAAAGCGCACGUAGGCGGGCUUUCUAAGUCGGGGGUGAAAUCCUGGAGCUCAACUCCAGAACUGCCUUCGAUACUGGAGUGCUUGAGUCCGGGAGAGGUGAGUGGAACUGCGAGUGUAGAGGUGAAAUUCGUAGAUAUUCGCAAGAACACCAGUGGCGAAGGCGGCUCACUGGCCCGGUACUGACGCUGAGGUGCGAAAGCGUGGGGGAGCAAACAGG
This 255-nucleotide ribosomal RNA is filed under the name uncultured bacterium. RNAcentral describes it as "partial 16S ribosomal RNA". It matches the Rfam family "Bacterial small subunit ribosomal RNA", at positions 524 to 776 of the family's 1533-position model. The record is from RNAcentral.